GCUUACCAACCCGAUGCAAACUGCGAAUACCGGAGAAUGUUAUCACGGGAGACACACGGCGGGUGCUAACGUCCGUCGUGAAGAGGGAAACAACCCAGACCGCCAGCUAAGGUCCCAAAGUCAUGGUUAAGUGGGAAACGAUGUGGGAAGGCCCAGACAGCCAGGAUGUUGGCUUAGAAGCAGCCAUCAUUUAAAGAAAGCGUAAUAGCUCACUGGUCGAGUCGGCCUGCGCGGAAGAUGUAACGGGGCUAAACCAUGCACCGAAGCUGCGGCAGCGAACGUAUCACCCAAGACAACUUUACGGAGUUGACGAUUGACGGAGCGAAGCGACGUCAAAGCGUUCAUUAAAGUCGAGUUGGCUUAGGGAUACGUUCGUUGGGUAGGGGAGCGUUCUGUAAGCCUGUGAAGGUGUGUCGUGAGGCAUGCUGGAGGUAUCAGAAGUGCGAAUGCUGACAUAAGUAACGAUAAAGCGGGUGAAAAGCCCGCUCGCCGGAAGACCAAGGGUUCCUGUCCAACGUUAAUCGGGGCAGGGUGAGUCGACCCCUAAGGCGAGGCCGAAAGGCGUAGUCGAUGGGAAACGGGUUAAUAUUCCCGUACUUGGUGUUACUGCGAAGGGGGGACGGAGAAGGCUAUGUUGGCCGGGCGACGGUUGUCCCGGUUUAAGCGUGUAGGUGUGUGUUCCAGGUAAAUCCGGUUCACUUUAACACUGAGGCGUGAUGACGAGGCACUACGGUGCUGAAGCAACAAAUGCCCUGCUUCCAGGAAAAGCCUCUAAGCAUCAGGUAACAUCAAAUCGUACCCCAAACCGACACAGGUGGU
Molecule: ribosomal RNA, 819 nt
Filed under: Salmonella enterica subsp. enterica serovar Typhimurium
Lineage: Bacteria; Pseudomonadati; Pseudomonadota; Gammaproteobacteria; Enterobacterales; Enterobacteriaceae
Description: partial 23S ribosomal RNA
Rfam family: Bacterial large subunit ribosomal RNA
Source: RNAcentral